CACGCAGGCGGUCGGAUAAGUCAGAUGUGAAAGCCCCGGGCUCAACCUGGGAACUGCAUUUGAAACUGUCCGACUAGAGUCUUGUAGAGGGGGGUAGAAUUCCAGGUGUAGCGGUGAAAUGCGUAGAGAUCUGGAGGAAUACCGGUGGCGAAGGCGGCCCCCUGGACAAAGACUGACGCUCAGGUGCGAAAGCGUGGGGAGCAAACA
RNAcentral lists this ribosomal RNA (207 nucleotides) under uncultured Gammaproteobacteria bacterium. Its description in RNAcentral is "uncultured gamma proteobacterium partial 16S ribosomal RNA". It matches the Rfam family "Bacterial small subunit ribosomal RNA", at positions 568 to 774 of the family's 1533-position model. RNAcentral also lists the same sequence under 1 other name. Lineage: Bacteria; Pseudomonadati; Pseudomonadota; Gammaproteobacteria. The record is from RNAcentral.